GACGAACGCUGGCGGCGUGCUUAACACAUGCAAGUCGAACGGUGAACUCCGCUUGCGGGGGGAUCAGUGGCGAACGGGUGAGUAACACGUGGGCAACCUGCCCUCAGCUCUGGGAUAACUCCAAGAAAUUGGGGCUAAUACCGGAUAUGACCGCUGACCGCAUGGUCUGGUGGUGGAAAGAUUUAUCGGCUGGGGAUGGGUCCGCGGCCUAUCAGCUUGUUGGUGGGGUAGUGGCCUACCAAGGCGACGACGGGUAGCCGGCCUGAGAGGGUGACCGGCCACACUGGGACUGAGACACGGCCCAGACUCCUACGGGAGGCAGCAGUGGGGAAUAUUGCGCAAUGGGCGAAAGCCUGACGCAGCGACGCCGCGUGGGGGAUGACGGCCUUCGGGUUGUAAACCUCUUUCAGCAGGGACGAAGCGAAAGUGACGGUACCUGCAGAAGAAGCACCGGCCAACUACGUG
Molecule: ribosomal RNA, 465 nt
Filed under: uncultured bacterium
Lineage: Bacteria
Description: partial 16S ribosomal RNA
Rfam family: Bacterial small subunit ribosomal RNA
Source: RNAcentral